CAUGCAAGUCGAACGAUGAUCCCAGCUUGCUGGGGGAUUAGUGGCGAACGGGUGAGUAACACGUGAGUAACCUGCCCUUGACUCUGGGAUAAGCCUGGGAAACUGGGUCUAAUACCGGAUACGACCAUUCCACGCAUGUGGUGGUGGUGGAAAGCUUUUGUGGUUUUGGAUGGACUCGCGGCCUAUCAGCUUGUUGGUGGGGUAAUGGCCUACCAAGGCGACGACGGGUAGCCGGCCUGAGAGGGUGACCGGCCACACUGGGACUGAGACACGGCCCAGACUCCUACGGGAGGCAGCAGUGGGGAAUAUUGCACAAUGGGCGCAAGCCUGAUGCAGCGACGCCGCGUGAGGGAUGACGGCCUUCGGGUUGUAAACCUCUUUCAGUAGGGAAGAAGCGAAAGUGACGGUACCUGCAGAAGAAGCGCCGGCUAACUACGUGCCAGCAGCCGCGGUAAUACGUAGGGCGCAAGCGUUAUCCGGAAUUAUUGGGCGUAAAGAGCUCGUAGGCGGUUUGUCGCGUCUGCUGUGAAAGACCGGGGCUCAACUCCGGUUCUGCAGUGGGUACGGGCAGACUAGAGUGCAGUAGGGGAGACUGGAAUUCCUGGUGUAGCGGUGAAAUGCGCAGAUAUCAGGAGGAACACCGAUGGCGAAGGCAGGUCUCUGGGCUGUAACUGACGCUGAGGAGCGAAAGCAUGGGGAGCGAACAGGAUUAGAUACCCUGGUAGUCCAUGCCGUAAACGUUGGGCACUAGGUGUGGGGGACAUUCCACGUUUUCCGCGCCGUAGCUAACGCAUUAAGUGCCCCGCCUGGGGAGUA
This 816-nucleotide ribosomal RNA is filed under the name Paenarthrobacter nitroguajacolicus. RNAcentral's name for it is "bacterial SSU rRNA". It matches the Rfam family "Bacterial small subunit ribosomal RNA", at positions 54 to 882 of the family's 1533-position model. Lineage: Bacteria; Bacillati; Actinomycetota; Actinomycetes; Micrococcales; Micrococcaceae. The record is from RNAcentral.